Molecule: ribosomal RNA, 775 nt
Filed under: uncultured Neocallimastigales
Lineage: Eukaryota; Fungi; Neocallimastigomycota; Neocallimastigomycetes; Neocallimastigales
Description: partial large subunit ribosomal RNA
Rfam family: Eukaryotic large subunit ribosomal RNA
Source: RNAcentral
UUAUGUGAUCGUCUCUCGCAUAUCAAUAAGCGGAGGAAAAGAAACUAACAAGGAUUCCCCUAGUAACGGCGAGUGAAGCGGGAAGAGCUCAAAUUUGAAAUCUUAAAGGGUUUCCCUUUACGAAUUGUAGUUUAAAGAAGUGUUUUCUGUUGAGGUUUUGGUAAAAGUUCUUUGGAAUAGGACAUCAUAGAGGGUGAGAAUCCCGUAUUUGACCUUUACUUUCAACUUUGUGAUACACUUUCAAAGAGUCGGAUUGUUUGGGAAUGCAGUCCAAAAUGGGUGGUAAAUUUCAUCUAAAGCUAAAUAUUGGCGAGAGACCGAUAGCGAACAAGUACCGUGAGGGAAAGAUGAAAAGAACCUUGAAAAGAGAGUUAAACAGUACGUGAAAUUGUCAAAAGGGAAGCGUUUGACACCAGUGUUGUUUUUCUGAAAAUCAAUUAAAGAACUGUUUAUGCUAAGCUGUUUAGACUUUAUCAGCUAUCUGUUUAGUUUUGAGCUUUUCUUUAAUGCACUUUUCAGUUAACAAGUCAACAUCAAUUUCUUUUGCUGUAAAAAAGCUUGAGGAAGGUGGCUUGAGAUUCGUCUUAAGUGUUUAUAGCCUCUUGCCUAUGCAGUCGGAGAGAUUGAGGUCCGCAGCGUAGAUCCUUCGGGGCUAAAUGCAUUUGUGCUAAGUUAUAACAUUUUAUAGACAACUUGUUGACUAUGAUUUGUCUUGUAGCUUACUCGCUUAUGUUAUUUUACCUACGCUUAGGAUGUUGACACACGCGCGUGCUCG